This 76-nucleotide transfer RNA is filed under the name Conexivisphaera calida. It matches the Rfam family "tRNA". Rfam says of the family: Transfer RNA (tRNA) molecules are approximately 80 nucleotides in length. RNAcentral also lists the same sequence under 4 other names. The record is from Rfam by way of RNAcentral. Lineage: Archaea; Thermoproteati; Nitrososphaerota; Conexivisphaeria; Conexivisphaerales; Conexivisphaeraceae.
AGCGGGGUGGGGAAGCUAGGUCUAUCCCGCGGGGCUCAUAACCCCGAGAUCCCAGGUUCGAAUCCUGGCCCCGCUA